This 492-nucleotide ribosomal RNA is filed under the name uncultured bacterium. RNAcentral's name for it is "partial 16S ribosomal RNA". It matches the Rfam family "Bacterial small subunit ribosomal RNA", at positions 29 to 507 of the family's 1533-position model. The record is from RNAcentral.
AGUGAACGCUGGCGGUAGGCCUAACACAUGCAAGUCGAACGGCAGCACAGUAAGAGCUUGCUCUUACGGGUGGCGAGUGGCGGACGGGUGAGGAAUACAUCGGAAUCUACUUAUUCGUGGGGGAUAACGUAGGGAAACUUACGCUAAUACCGCAUACGACCUACGGGUGAAAGCAGGGGAUCUUCGGACCUUGCGCGAUUGAAUGAGCCGAUGUCGGAUUAGCUAGUUGGCGGGGUAAAGGCCCACCAAGGCGUCGAUCCGUAGCUGGACUGAGAGGAUGAUCAGCCACACUGGAACUGAGACACGGUCCAGACCCCUACGAGAGGCAGCAGUGGGGAAUAUUGGACAAUGGGCGCAAGCCUGAUCCAGCCAUACCGCGUGGGUGAAGAAGGCCUUCGGGUUGUAAAGCCCUUUUGUUGGGAAAGAAAAGCAGCAGGUUAAUACCCCGCUGUUCUGACGGUACCCAAAGAAUAAGCACCGGCUAACUUCGUG